AAAAACACACAGACAGACAAAAACACACACAGACAUACAGAAACACACACAUACAGACAGAAGGACACAUAGACAGAAACACAGACAUACCGUAACACAGACAGACAGAAACACAGACAGACAAACAGACAGACAGACAGAAACACAGACAUACAGACAGACACACACACAGACAGACAAAAACAUAGACAGACAGAGACAGACAGAAACACAGACAGACAGACACACAGAAACACAGACAGACAGACAGAAACACACACAGACAGACAAAAACACAGACAGACAGACAUACAGAAACACACACAUACAGACAGAAACAUAGACAGAAACACAGACAGACAGAAACACAGACAGACAGAAACACAGACAUACAGACAGAAACACACACAGACAGAAACACACAGACAGACAGACAGACCAACACAGACAGACAGACAGACACACAGACAGAAACACAAAAACACAGACAGAGAGAAACACAGAAAGAAACACAGACACACAGACAGAAACACAGAAACACACACACAGACAGACAAACACAGACAGACAGACAGACAGACAGACAGACAGACAGACAGACAGACAGACAGACAGACAGACAGACAGACAGACAGACAGACAGACACACAGACAGACAAAAACACAGACAGACAAAACACACACAGACAGACAGAAAGCAACAUAGACAGACAGGUAGGAACAUAGACAGACAGACAGACAGCAACAUAUCAGACAGACAGACAGCAACAGAUCAGACAGAUAGACAGCAACACAGACAGACAGACAGUAACAUAGACAGACAGACAGACAGACAGACAGAGAGACAGACAGACAGACAGACAGACAGACAGACAGACAGACAGACAGACAGACAGACAGACAGACAGACAGACAGACAGACAGACAGACAGGAACAUAGACAGACAAGAACAUAGACAGACAGAAAGGAACAUAGACAGACAGACAGGAACAUAGACAGACAGACAGGAACAUUGACAGACAGGCACACAGUUAAAUAAUGCAGUUGUGGAAGCCCACAGACUUUCACACACAACUUACCGUUCUCUUUCCUGAGCUUCUCUGUAGACAGAAGAUAAAACAUGAUGUAUU
Molecule: long non-coding RNA, 1110 nt
Filed under: Salmo salar (Atlantic salmon)
Lineage: Eukaryota; Metazoa; Chordata; Actinopteri; Salmoniformes; Salmonidae
Description: lncRNA (ENSSSAG00000116167.1)
Source: RNAcentral